GACGGAGGGUGCAAGCGUUGUUCGGAUUGACUGGGCGUAAAGGGCGUGUAGGCGGUCGGUCAAGUCUGAUGUGAAAGCCCGGGGCUCAGCUCCGGAAGUGCAUCGGAAACUAGCCGGCUGGAGCGCGAUAAAGGAGGGCGGAAUUCCUGGUGUAGCGGUGAAAUGCGUAGAUAUCAGGAGGAACACCGGCGGCGAAGGCGGCCCUCUGGAUCGUUGCUGACGCUGAGACGCGAAAGCGUUGGGAGCAAACAGG
Molecule: ribosomal RNA, 253 nt
Filed under: uncultured bacterium
Lineage: Bacteria
Description: partial 16S ribosomal RNA
Rfam family: Bacterial small subunit ribosomal RNA
Source: RNAcentral